Molecule: ribosomal RNA, 375 nt
Filed under: uncultured bacterium
Lineage: Bacteria
Description: bacterial SSU rRNA
Rfam family: Bacterial small subunit ribosomal RNA
Source: RNAcentral
UACGGAGGGUGCUAGCGUUGUUCGGAAUUACUGGGCGUAAAGCGCGUGUAGGUGGCUAAGCGGGUCGGAUGUGAAAGCCCUCGGCUUAACCGAGGAAGUGCGUCCGAAACUACUUAGCUUGAGUAUGGGAGAGGAGGACGGAAUUCCCAGUGUAGAGGUGAAAUUCGUAGAUAUUGGGAGGAACACCGGUGGCGAAAGCGGUUCUCUAGACCAUAACUGACACUGAGACGCGAAAGCGUGGGUAGCAAACAGGAUUAGAUACCCUGGUAGUCCACGCCGUAAACGAUGGGUACUAGGUGUUGUGAGCUUAACACUCGCAGUGCCGACGCUAACGCAUUAAGUACCCCGCCUGGGGAGUACGGCCGCAAGGUUAAA